CUGUUCUCCAAGAAGCAGAUGUUGAGUCAGAGUUAGGAGUGCAAGAGAAUCUGAAGGCUGUGGGGACCUGGAGGCAAUCUGCCCCGCGUGGACUUGGAGCUCCCUCCGGCUGCAGUCGGACUGCCUGCUUCUCCAGGGACCAACAUGGCAGAGGCGCGAGAUCACCCCUUCAAGGGCCUUGCAAAUCAGUAACUAACACUUAUCAGCCUUUAGCCCGUUUUGAUCCUACAUGAUUUUGACCUUAUGGCUUGACUUUGGAAUCUUCCGUCUAUAAAAGCAUGGCUC
This 285-nucleotide long non-coding RNA is filed under the name Equus asinus (donkey). RNAcentral's name for it is "lncRNA (ENSEASG00005032308.1)". The record is from RNAcentral. Lineage: Eukaryota; Metazoa; Chordata; Mammalia; Perissodactyla; Equidae.